Molecule: transfer RNA, 73 nt
Filed under: Acropora cervicornis
Lineage: Eukaryota; Metazoa; Cnidaria; Anthozoa; Scleractinia; Acroporidae
Description: tRNA-OTHER
Rfam family: tRNA
About the family: Transfer RNA (tRNA) molecules are approximately 80 nucleotides in length. Their secondary structure includes four short double-helical elements and three loops (D, anti-codon, and T loops). Further hydrogen bonds mediate the characteristic L-shaped molecular structure. tRNAs have two regions of fundamental functional importance: the anti-codon, which is responsible for specific mRNA codon recognition, and the 3' end, to which the tRNAs corresponding amino acid is attached (by aminoacyl-tRNA synthetases). tRNAs cope with the degeneracy of the genetic code in two manners: having more than one tRNA (with a specific anti-codon) for a particular amino acid; and 'wobble' base-pairing, i.e. permitting non-standard base-pairing at the 3rd anti-codon position.
Source: RNAcentral
GGCUUCAUAGCUCAGUUGCAAUUGGUUAGAGCGUCGCACCGCGAGGUCACGGGCUCGAACCCCGUUGAAGUCC